GGGUAAUUAGCUCAAGUGGUAGAGCGCUCGCUUAGCAUGUGAGAGGUAACGGGAUCGAUACCCGUAUUCUCCA
RNAcentral lists this transfer RNA (73 nucleotides) under Dreissena polymorpha. It matches the Rfam family "tRNA". Rfam says of the family: Transfer RNA (tRNA) molecules are approximately 80 nucleotides in length. Lineage: Eukaryota; Metazoa; Mollusca; Bivalvia; Myida; Dreissenidae. The record is from Rfam by way of RNAcentral.